CAUCACUUCGAGUGAGUAAGAUCCCUCAGAGACGAUGAGGUUGAUAGGUCCGAGGUGGAAGCGUGGUGACACGUGGAGCUGACGGAUACUAAUCGAUCGAGGACUUAACUAA
RNAcentral lists this non-coding RNA (112 nucleotides) under Ornithinibacillus halophilus. RNAcentral describes it as "Ornithinibacillus sp. G8B(2010) Bacterial large subunit ribosomal RNA". It matches the Rfam family "Bacterial large subunit ribosomal RNA", at positions 2815 to 2925 of the family's 2925-position model. Lineage: Bacteria; Bacillati; Bacillota; Bacilli; Caryophanales; Bacillaceae. The record is from Rfam by way of RNAcentral.